Molecule: non-coding RNA, 72 nt
Organism: Terfezia boudieri ATCC MYA-4762
Lineage: Eukaryota; Fungi; Ascomycota; Pezizomycetes; Pezizales; Pezizaceae
Source: the annotation of a GenBank genome assembly
GCCCGCUUGGCUCAGUGGUAAAGCGUCGCACUUGUAAUGCGAAGAUCAAGAGUUCAAUUCUCUUAGUGGGCA